GAUGAACGCUGGCGGCGUGCCUAAUACAUGCAAGUCGAGCGAACAGAUGAGGAGCUUGCUCCUCUGACGUUAGCGGCGGACGGGUGAGUAACACGUGGAUAACCUACCUAUAAGACUGGGAUAACUUUGGGAAACCGGAGCUAAUACCGGAUAAUAUAUUGAACCGCAUGGUUCAAUAGUGAAAGACGGUUUUGCUGUCACUUAUAGAUUGAUCCGCGCCGCAUUAGCUAGUUGGUAAGGUAACGGCUUACCAAGGCAACGAUGCGUAGCCGACCUGAGAGGGUGAUCAGCCACACUAGAACUGAGACACGGUCCAGACUCCUACGGGAGGCAGCAGUAGGGAAUCUUCCGCAAUGGGCGAAAGCCUGACGGAGCAACGCCGCGUGAGUGAUGAAGGUCUUCGGAUCGUAAAACUCUGUUAUUAGGGAAGAACAAAUGUGUAAGUAACUAUGCACGUCUUGACGGUACCUAAUCAGAAAGCCACGGCUAACUACGUG
This 497-nucleotide ribosomal RNA is filed under the name uncultured bacterium. RNAcentral's name for it is "partial 16S ribosomal RNA". It matches the Rfam family "Bacterial small subunit ribosomal RNA", at positions 28 to 507 of the family's 1533-position model. The record is from RNAcentral.